RNAcentral lists this long non-coding RNA (612 nucleotides) under Panax ginseng (ginseng). Its description in RNAcentral is "long non-coding RNA (PGIN_LNC005637)". Lineage: Eukaryota; Viridiplantae; Streptophyta; Magnoliopsida; Apiales; Araliaceae. The record is from RNAcentral.
AUCUCCCCAUCAUUCCCCUCGGGGGCCAAUCCCCGCUCUGGCGUAAGUGCCUUGGUUAGCAUGUACUCAUACCGAUCGGCGGCGGCGACACUCACAAAUUUUUGUCGGUCAUAUGUUUGUGGCAGUGGAGCGGCGCUUGAACUCGCCCCCCGUUGGCGUUUGUAUGUCGGUUGAGAAGCCAUUGAAUUUCAACGGUGAACUCUUGCUAGUAAACACUACCUUUCCCAAAAACUUGGUUUAGUCAAUUUGUCAAACACUUGGCGUGCACAGCUCGUUCGGAUCCCCCAAACUUAGGUUGGUUCUAUGGAGUUGAGAAAAGAUGAAGACUUAACACGAACGCAACUUACUCUCAAGUGUGUGUUUCCCAAUUUCUUGAAGAAUUCGAGUUUAAUGGUGUUGAAUAUGGGAAGUAUGAGGUAGGGUUUAUAUAGGAGUGAUGUGGGGGAGAGGAAGAGGUGGACGUGAUGGAGGCUAUGUGGAAAUUCGUGGGGUAGAAGGUGGGUGUAAUGGAUUUAGGUAGUGGGUAAUUUUGAUGUAGGUAAUGGGAUGAAGAAGUUACUAUGAGAUGGCAACGUGGGUUGUGUUUAGGAGAGAAAACAGAGAUGGCACCAG